CCUACGGGAGGCAGCAGUGAGGAAUAUUGGUCAAUGGGCGCGAGCCUGAACCAGCCAAGCAGCGUGAAGGAUGACUGCUCUACGGGUUGUAAACUUCUUUUAUAAAGGAAUAAAGUGAGGCACGUGUGCCUUUUUGUCUGUACUUUAUGAAUAAGGAUCGGCUAACUCCGUGCCAGCAGCCGCGGUAAUACGGAGGAUCCUAGCGUUAUCCGGAUUAAUUGGGUUUAAAGGGAGCGUAGGUGGGUUGUUAAGUCAGUUGUGAAAGUUUGCGGCUCAACCGGAAAAUUGCAAAUGAUACUGGCUACCUUGAGUACAGGUGAGGUAGGCGGAAUUCGUGGGGUAGCGGUGAAAUGCUUAGAGAUCACGAAGAACACCGAUUGCGAAGGCAGCUUACUAAACUGUAACUGACAUUGAUGCUCGAAAGUGUGGGUAUCAAACAGGAUUAGAUACCCGGGUAGUC
RNAcentral lists this ribosomal RNA (460 nucleotides) under uncultured bacterium. RNAcentral describes it as "partial 16S ribosomal RNA". It matches the Rfam family "Bacterial small subunit ribosomal RNA", at positions 338 to 795 of the family's 1533-position model. The record is from RNAcentral.